Long non-coding RNA from Panicum virgatum (switchgrass), 785 nucleotides. RefSeq lists it as uncharacterized. The record is from RefSeq and is a predicted model, not a curated record. Lineage: Eukaryota; Viridiplantae; Streptophyta; Magnoliopsida; Poales; Poaceae. The transcript has 2 exons.
GCGUGUGCCUAUGGUAGAACAGCUUCUCUGCGAUGGUCAAGAUGAAAAAGAAAAAGGUCACAUCGGUUUGCAAUCCAAUAUCACAUUAGACGAUCGUUAGUUCAUCUCACUAGAUUUGUCCGCCCUGGUGUUCAGCGGCGCGCAGCCCAGCGGGGGCAGCAGGUUCACCAGCACCGCUCCGACGCCCAGGUCCUCAAGCUUCCUCACGCCGCCGACGAUCCCGUCCGUCACGUUCGAGAUGUACUGGGAGAACGCCAUGAUCGAGCAGCAGCAAAAAGCACAGAAGCUUCAUCAGUUAUCAGCACACGCAAGUAUAUCAGACCAUGCCGUUUGCGCGCUCACCAGGGGGUCCAUGUCGAGCAAGUCGCUGGGGACGUCAGCGUAGUCGGCGCCGGACGCGAUGGAGACGAGCGCGACCGACUGGCUGAGGUCCUUGCCGAUGAUCCUCUUCCGGAGCAGCCUCUUGAACUUGUUGACCUGCUUAUCCAAGUUCCACCCCGGGAACACGCCGGAGCCGGAGCUGGCGAAGUUCACGCCGGAGGACACAGGUCCACGCCGUCGUGCCGCCUCAGCCUCUCCGGCGGAGGGGCCUCCUUCUGCCCCAGGAUAAUCUUGGCUGCAAACGUAAGGACGACGCCCAAUACAUUUACAUAUAGUUGACCUACUACUAAUAAAUACUUCCUCCGUUCCAAAAUAAAUACAAUUCGAUGACCAAACACGUAAAUCAAUGCUAGGUGUAAAAUUACAAAAAUAUCUAUUGUCUUUUGUGAUGAGUGGAUGAGUUA